CAUAUUUUCCCUGUUGGAGAGUAACAACCAUGCCUCUGGAGAAGACAGAUCUUUCUAGAAUCAAGAAUGAAAGGACAAGUUAAAGAGGGUCCCCUGGGUGACUGUACUGCAAGCUACCAAAGUUUGAGAGUCACUUCCUUUAGGACUUCUAAGACAGAAUUCAUCUGCUUGCUACAAUAGAGAUUGCUCUCUACCUUACCCCUACGGAUGACCUUGGUAGCCAUGUGUUGAAGAUACUGAAGUCCUAUCAGCCUAGGUUUCUGAAUGACUGCAUUGAGAACUGUCCCAGUGAC
Physeter macrocephalus (sperm whale) is the source of this 293-nucleotide long non-coding RNA. RefSeq lists it as uncharacterized. The transcript has 3 exons. The record is from RefSeq and is a predicted model, not a curated record. NCBI's taxonomy places the organism in Eukaryota, Metazoa, Chordata, Mammalia, Artiodactyla, Physeteridae.